CUUCUCUCCCUCUAUCGCACCUAUUGCUUGAUUGAUUGGGAGAAAAUUGAGAGAAUUGAGCAUAAGGUUGUAUUAUAAUUGUCUCCUCAUGUUUUAGAUGCCUUUCUUCUGUCAAAACCAUACCAUAGAGAUCAUCAAAAUAAAAAUCAUUAGUAUGAAAAUCGAGCAUUUUAAAGAAUAAUUUAUAGGCUAGUCCAAGACAAGCAACAACAAAUUCAAUAAGUUCUUCAUCUGGAGUAUGAUGUUAUAAUGCUGCCAGUUUACCUUAAAUCCUUUUGGUACACACUACAUAGGUCUCUAUAGAGAAAUUUUCUCACUUUAAGUUAUGUAAUUAUGCAUGUAACACCUAGAUUUGAGCCUUUGAUCCAGAGGCAUAUGUGGAUACAAGUUUAUUCAACACUACUCAGGCAGUUAUUAUGCCAACCUAUUGAGGCAAGACCUUUUUAGAAAUUGAAGCGAUAACCCAGCUAAGGACAAUCUGAUCCUGUCAUUUCUAGAGUUGAAAUGCAGGAUUUAUGUACCAUCUUCAAACACUGGUGAUGGAACCAACUCAUUUUGAUCAAGAUGACAUUCUAAACUGCAACUAGUUACCACAAGCAAAAACUGCAUUUUCUAUAG
This 618-nucleotide long non-coding RNA is filed under the name Carica papaya (papaya). RNAcentral describes it as "long non-coding RNA (CPAP_LNC010722)". Lineage: Eukaryota; Viridiplantae; Streptophyta; Magnoliopsida; Brassicales; Caricaceae. The record is from RNAcentral.